GUGAAUCAUCAAAUCUUUGAACGCAAAUUGCACUCUCCGGUUUUCCGGGAGAGUAUGCCUGUUUGUGGGUCAGCCUAAAAAAAAUCGACAUUGUUGCUGUUAUUUAAUGGUGACUUUCGUCGGAGAUUGGGUUAUCCUAAACCUUUUUUUUUUGGGUUUAAGCGCUUUAAAAUUUUUUUUCCGGAUUCUAUGACGUUUUUUAAGUUUUUUUUUUUUUAU
This 219-nucleotide unclassified non-coding RNA is filed under the name Glomeraceae sp. RNAcentral's name for it is "partial contains 5.8S ribosomal RNA and internal transcribed spacer 2". The stretch from base 1 to 72 matches the Rfam family "5.8S ribosomal RNA", at positions 84 to 154 of the family's 154-position model. The record is from RNAcentral. Lineage: Eukaryota; Fungi; Glomeromycota; Glomeromycetes; Glomerales; Glomeraceae.